GGCGCACGGUGGCUUAGUGGUUAGGACUUUCGCCUCAUACCUGAGGGUCCAGGUUUCGAUUCCUGCCAGAGCCA
Non-coding RNA from Ameiurus melas (black bullhead), 74 nucleotides. NCBI's taxonomy places the organism in Eukaryota, Metazoa, Chordata, Actinopteri, Siluriformes, Ictaluridae. The record is from the annotation of a GenBank genome assembly.